ACGGCAGCACAGAGGAGCUUGCUCCUUGNGGUGGCGAGUGGCGGACGGGUGAGGAAUACAUCGGAAUCUACUCUGUCGUGGGGGAUAACGUAGGGAAACUUACGCUAAUACCGCAUACGACCUACGGGUGAAAGCAGGGGAUCUUCGGACCUUGCGCGAUUGAAUGAGCCGAUGUCGGAUUAGCUAGUUGGCGGGGUAAAGGCCCACCAAGGCGACGAUCCGUAGCUGGUCUGAGAGGAUGAUCAGCCACACUGGAACUGAGACACGGUCCAGACUCCUACGGGAGGCAGCAGUGGGGAAUAUUGGACAAUGGGCGCAAGCCUGAUCCAGCCAUACCGCGUGGGUGAAGAAGGCCUUCGGGUUGUAAAGCCCUUUUGUUGGGAAAGAAAUCCAGCCGGCUAAUACCUGGUUGGGAUGACGGUACCCAAAGAAUAAGCACCGGCUAACUUCGUGCCAGCAGCCGCGGUAAUACGAAGGGUGCAAGCGUUACUCGGAAUUACUGGGCGUAAAGCGUGCGUAGGUGGUCGUUUAAGUCCGUUGUGAAAGCCUGGGCUCAACCUGGGAACUGCAGUGGAUACUGGACGACUAAAGUGUGGUAAAGGGUAGCGGAAUUCCUGGUG
This 620-nucleotide ribosomal RNA is filed under the name Stenotrophomonas sp. EE3. RNAcentral describes it as "bacterial SSU rRNA". It matches the Rfam family "Bacterial small subunit ribosomal RNA", at positions 66 to 675 of the family's 1533-position model. The record is from RNAcentral. Lineage: Bacteria; Pseudomonadati; Pseudomonadota; Gammaproteobacteria; Lysobacterales; Lysobacteraceae.